CUCAAGCUUCUUUGCAAGUGAAAAGUAGCGUCUGGCAAUAGGAAUCCAAAAGGCAUGCUCUCUAAUCUCAGGUUCUCCAUCAGCGUAAAAUAUCUCUUCAGGUUGAUACCACACUCUGUUGAGAUAAUUGUCUGAAGAUUUCUCACCUUCUUUGCGAACUUGAUAAUCGGCAAACCUCAGAUAACCGUAUUUUCUAGUGUAGUCUCCAUUGGAUUCAAAUGCAAGUUCAUCUUCGGGUCCAUCUCCAAACCUCUGGUCAUAAAAAUGUGCAAGGAUUUAAUCAAAGUCAUUUAAGGGAAAAUAAUUCACUGCAUGUGAAAAUGAUCUACGUGCUUUUCCCAGCUUUUUUUUUUUAAACAGUUUUCGUAACACCUAAAUUGAUGGGUUUUACGCGUUACUGAAUGGUAAAGUUUACGUAAUGAGAUAACUAUUAGAGAUCAUUGUGGAUUGAGCAAAUACAUAAUUAUGGUUACCUGCCAAUUCCAGAGGCCAGUAUGAGCCCAAUACUCUGGGAUUGUAACAUCUCCUAUUUGAAUUUCAGGAUUUGCACCUCCCGCUGAUCCCAAAUGAAGUACUCCAUGGAUCCUGAAUACACUUAGCAGCAGCUGUGUUGCUACUCCUGAAUUCAGCUGUAAAAUAAUAAUUUAAAUUAAUUACGUUGUUACCCAUAAAAACCUAAAGGAAUAAAUAAAUCAUUGUAUUUUCAUUACCAUGCUGAGUCCGGAC
This 726-nucleotide long non-coding RNA is filed under the name Olea europaea (common olive). RNAcentral describes it as "long non-coding RNA (OEUR_LNC012182)". The record is from RNAcentral. Lineage: Eukaryota; Viridiplantae; Streptophyta; Magnoliopsida; Lamiales; Oleaceae.